Molecule: ribosomal RNA, 410 nt
Filed under: uncultured cyanobacterium
Lineage: Bacteria; Bacillati; Cyanobacteriota
Description: bacterial SSU rRNA
Rfam family: Bacterial small subunit ribosomal RNA
Source: RNAcentral
CAAUGGGCGAAAGCCUGACGGAGCAAGACCGCGUGGGGGAUGAAGGUUUGUGGAUUGUAAACCCCUUUUGAUUGGGAAGAAUACUGGCGGUACCAAUCGAAUAAGCCUCGGCUAACUCCGUGCCAGCAGCCGCGGUAAUACGGAGGAGGCAAGCGUUAUCCGGAAUUAUUGGGCGUAAAGCGUCCGUAGGUGGUUUAGUAAGUCUGCUGUUAAAGCGCGGGGCUUAACUCCGUAUCGGCAGUGGAAACUACUAGACUAGAGUGUGGUAGGGGUAGAGGGAAUUCCCAGUGUAGCGGUGAAAUGCGUAGAUAUUGGGAAGAACACCGGUGGCGAAAGCGCUCUACUGGGCCAUAACUGACACUGAUGGACGAAAGCUAGGGGAGCGAAAGGGAUUAGAUACCCCUGUAGUC